Unclassified non-coding RNA from Pongo abelii (Sumatran orangutan), 148 nucleotides. It matches the Rfam family "Metazoan signal recognition particle RNA". From Rfam's summary of the family: The signal recognition particle (SRP) is a universally conserved ribonucleoprotein. It is involved in the co-translational targeting of proteins to membranes. The record is from Ensembl. NCBI's taxonomy places the organism in Eukaryota, Metazoa, Chordata, Mammalia, Primates, Hominidae.
GCUGGGCGUGGUGGUGCAUGCCUGUAAUCCCAGCUACUCAGGAGGCUGAGGCAGGAGAAUCACUUGAGCCUGGGAGGCAGAGGUUGCAGUGAGCUGAGAUUGUGCCACUGCACUACAGUCUGGGCGACAGAGUGAGAUCCUGUCUCAA